CGGAACGGCAUGGGAGGGCCGGCCGCAGCGGGUGACAGCCCCGUACGCGAACCCAGACCGGACGGCGCGACGCGGUCCCUGAGUAGGGCCGGGCACGUGAAACCCGGUCCGAACCUGGGUGGACCACCAUCCAAGCCUGAGUACUACCCUGUGACCGAUAGCGCACCAGUACCGUGAGGGAAAGGUGAAAAGCACCCCGGGAGGGGAGUGAAACAGUACCUGAAACCGUGCGCCCACGAGCAGUCGGAGCACCUAUAUGGUGUGACGGCGUGCCUUUUGUAGAAUGAGCCAGCGAGUCGCUGGCGCGGGGCGAGGUUAACCGAAAGGGAGCCGGAGCGAAAGCGAGCCUUAACAGGGCGACUUGAGUCCCGCGCCGCGGACGCGAAGCCGGGUGAGCUAUCCGUGGGCAGGCUGAAGCGGGGGUAAGACCCCGUGGAGGGCCGAACGCACGUCGGUUGAAAACGGCGGCGAUGACCUGCGGAUAGGGGUGAAAGGCCAAUCAAACCCGGAGAUAUCUCGUUCUCCCCGAAAUAGCUUUAGGGCUAGCGUCGCGCGUUCACCGCCGGAGGUAGAGCACCGGAUGGACGAGGGGGCUUCGCCGCCUACCGAAUCCAACCGAACUCCGAAUGCCGGCGGCCCAGAGCGCGGCAGUCAGAGCAUGUGGGCUAAGCUGUGUGCUCGAGAGGGAAACAGCCCGGACCGCCCGCUAAGGUCCCCAAGUUCCAGCCGAGUGGCAAAGGAUGUGCGUCCGCCCAGACAACCAGGAUGUUGGCUUAGAAGCAGCCAUCCAUUCAAAGAGUGCGUAACAGCUCACUGGUCGAGUGGACAUGCGCCGACAAUACACGGGGCUAAGCUGGACACCGAAGCGGCGGGAUUUUACCUAAGUAGAAUCGGUAGGGGAGCUUCCCAUGGGCGGAGAAGCCGGAGGGCGACCGACGGUGGAGCGCAUGGGAGUGAGAAUGCUGGCAUGAGUAGCGAGAGACGAGAGAGUAACUCGUCCGCCGUGAACCCGAGGUUUCCUGGGCAAGGCUAAUCCUCCCAGGGUCAGUCGGGGGCUAAGGCGAGGCCGGGAGGCGUAGCCGACGCGCAGCAGGCAGACAUUCCUGCACCGCGCACGCGGCGCUACGACCGACGGGGCGACGGAUGGGGGUGGCUCGGCGGGGUUCUGGACGUCCCCGUGAUGGAGCGCGGCCCGCGGACCAGGGAAAUCCGGUCCGCAUCGAGGGCGAGGCUCCGGACGAAGCGACUGAGCGAAGCGAGUGAGCCCGAGGUCCCUAGAAAAACCCCUAGGCAGGCGCGUGCGCGCCCGUACCGCAAACCGACACAGGUGGGUGGGUAGAACAUACCGAGGCGAUCGGGUCAACCAUGGUCAAGGAACUCGGCACAAUGGCCCCGUAACUUCGGGAGAAGGGGUGCCCGCGCGUACGUGAACCGGCUCGCCCGGGGAGCGGAGGCGGGCCGCAGUGGAGAGGCCCAAGCGACUGUUUACCAAAAACACAGGACUCUGCAGAAGCCGCAAGGCGACGUAUAGGGUCUGACGCCUGCCCGGUGCCGGAAGGUCACGCGGAGGAGUUAGCCAUUUCGGCGAAGCCCCGAAGCCAAGCCCCGGUAAACGGCGGCCGUAACUAUAACGGUCCUAAGGUAGCGAAAUUCCUUGUCGGGUAAGUUCCGACCUGCACGAAAGGCGCAACGACUUGGGCGCUGUCUCGACCAUGGACCCGGUGAAAUUGCACUGGUCGUGAAGAUGCGACUUACCCGCGGAAGGACGGAAAGACCCCGUGAACCUUCACUGCAGCUUGGCAUUGGCCGCUGGUCCCGCGUGUAGAGGAUAGGCAGGAGGCAUCGAUCCGGAGGCGCCAGCCCCCGGGGAGCCGCCCUUGGAAUACUGCCCUCGCGCGACCGGCGUCCUAACCCGAGGCCGUCAACCGGCUCGGGGACCGUGCCAGGCGGGCAGUUUGACUGGGGCGGUCGCCUCCUAAAGGGUAACGGAGGCGCGCGAAGGUCCGCUCGGGACGGUCGGCAACCGUCCUUUUGAAUGCAAGAGUACAAGCGGGCUUGACUGCGAGGCCCACAAGCCGAGCAGGUGCGAAAGCAGGCUCUAGUGAUCCGGCGGCCCCGAGUGGGUGGGCCGUCGCUCAACGGAUAAAAGGUACUCCGGGGAUAACAGGCUGAUCUUGCCCAAGAGUCCACAUCGACGGCAAGGUUUGGCACCUCGAUGUCGGCUCAUCGCAUCCUGGGGCUGA
Molecule: ribosomal RNA, 2243 nt
Filed under: human gut metagenome
Description: bacterial LSU rRNA
Rfam family: Bacterial large subunit ribosomal RNA
Source: RNAcentral